UACGAAGGGGGCUAGCGUUGUUCGGAAUUACUGGGCGUAAAGCGCACGUAGGCGGAUAUUUAAGUCAGGGGUGAAAUCCCAGAGCUCAACUCUGGAACUGCCUUUGAUACUGGGGUAUCUUGAGUAUGGAAGAGGUAAGUGGAAUUGCGAGUGUAGAGGUGAAAUUCGUAGAUAUUCGGCAGGAACACCAGUGGCGAAGGCGGCUUACUGGUCCAUACUGACGCUGAG
Molecule: ribosomal RNA, 228 nt
Filed under: uncultured bacterium
Lineage: Bacteria
Description: partial 16S ribosomal RNA
Rfam family: Bacterial small subunit ribosomal RNA
Source: RNAcentral